This is a long non-coding RNA of Marmota monax (woodchuck), 914 nucleotides long. RefSeq lists it as uncharacterized. NCBI's taxonomy places the organism in Eukaryota, Metazoa, Chordata, Mammalia, Rodentia, Sciuridae. The record is from RefSeq and is a predicted model, not a curated record. The transcript has 4 exons.
AGCUUGUGCACAGUGGUUUCUUUCAUUUUCUUGAGAUCUUUGGAAAUGGUCCUAAAGGGGAAAAAAAUGAACUCAGGAAGCAAGACUGAAAAUGUGUGCAAUUGUAUGAUUUAAAAGAUUUAAAAAAAAACAAAAACCUCCACGGUACUUUUGAUUAUCACAAGACCAGAAAAUAUAGUGCUUUCCUGAGAAUGUUUUGGUAAUACGACUUUAAAACAAGCAACAUUAAGUAGAAGAAUUUGAAAUACAGAACAUGGAACUCAAAUGGCUUUGAUGGGUUAUAACCAAGUUGGAUUGGCUGAAGAGCAUCACCUGCUUGAAUGUGAGUCCUCUGACUACAGAUUGCCACUUUGGAUCUCUCUUCUUACUUUCUGAAGAGGCUUACUGAAAGCAGAGAAAAACAAAUAGCGGAAGAUGUGCAAACAGCAGCCCCAGUGAGGAGGAGAAGGAAAGAGAGAAGAUGACCAACUCCAUUGCCCUGGGCCAGAUAUGAGGAAGAACAUCGUGAUAGAAGGGCAUGACAGAGGAAAGCACCUCAGGACAUGGCACCAGGAAGCAGAGACAGAGAAAGAGAGAGAGAGAGAGAGAGAGAGACUCUCCUCCCAAUGGACAAAAUACAUACCCCAAUGACACAUCCCAAAUCACCCACCUCCUCUAGCCACACCAUAUAUGCCUACAUUUACAACCCAGUUAAUCUGUAUCAGUGGAUUAAUACAUUGAUUAGGUUAAGGCUCUUAUUUCAUCUCUAAACCCCCUUGCAGGGUCUCACACAUGAACUUUGGGUGGACACUUCAUAUCUAAACCAUAACAGGGAGGCAACAUGUUUUCCUAGUCCUUCAUUUAUUAUAAACUUUAAUUCGUAGUCAGGAAAAAGUGGAAGAAUAAUAUUUUGGAAUAAAGUUGAAAUAAUUUAA